This 876-nucleotide ribosomal RNA is filed under the name Candidatus Nanopelagicales bacterium. RNAcentral's name for it is "partial 23S ribosomal RNA". It matches the Rfam family "Bacterial large subunit ribosomal RNA", at positions 2051 to 2925 of the family's 2925-position model. Lineage: Bacteria; Bacillati; Actinomycetota; Actinomycetes; Candidatus Nanopelagicales. The record is from RNAcentral.
GAGUAAAGAUGCUCGUUACGCGCGGCAGGACGGAAAGACCCCGGGACCUUUACUAUAGCUUGGUAUUGGUGGUCGAUUCGGUUUGUGUAGGAUAGGUGGGAGACUGUGAAGCUCGGACGCCAGUCCGGGUGGAGUCGCACUUGAAAUACCACUCUGAUCGUAUUGGCUGUCUAACCUUGGUCCGUGAUCCGGAUUAGGGACAGUGCCUGGUGGGUAGUUUAACUGGGGCGGUUGCCUCCUAAAAAGUAACGGAGGCGCUCAAAGGUUCCCUCAGCCUGGUUGGCAAUCAGGUGUCGAGUGCAAGUGCACAAGGGAGCUUGACUGUGAGACUGACAAGUCGAGCAGGGACGAAAGUCGGGACUAGUGAUCCGGCGUCGGCAUGUGGAAGCGGCGUCGCUCAACGGAUAAAAGGUACCCCGGGGAUAACAGGCUGAUCUUGCCCAAGAGUCCAUAUCGACGGCAUGGUUUGGCACCUCGAUGUCGGCUCGUCGCAUCCUGGGGCUGGAGUAGGUCCCAAGGGUUGGGCUGUUCGCCCAUUAAAGCGGCACGCGAGCUGGGUUUAGAACGUCGUGAGACAGUUCGGUCCCUAUCCGCCACGCGCGCAGGAGUCUUGAGGAGACCUGUCCCUAGUACGAGAGGACCGGGAUGGACGAACCUCUGGUGUGCCAGUUGUCCUGCCAAGGGCACGGCUGGUUGGCUACGUUCGGAAGGGAUAACCGCUGAAAGCAUCUAAGCGGGAAGCUCGCUCCAAGAUAAGGACUCCCACAGGGUUAACCUGGUAAGGCCCCCAGCGAGAACACUGGGUUGAUAGGCCGGAAGUGGAAGCGCAGCAAUGCGUGCAGCUGACCGGUACUAAUAGGCCGAGGACUUGACCCC